GAUGAAAACGUAGCGAAAUGCGAUACUUGGUGUGAAUUGCAGAAUCCCGUGAACCAUCGAGUCUUUGAACGCAAGUUGCGCCCGAAGCCAUCAGGUUGAGGGCACGUCUGCCUGGGCGUCACAUAUCGUUGCCCAAUGCCUAUUGCAGUGCAAUAGGAAUUUCUAGGGCGAAUGAUGGCUUCCCGUGAGCGUUGUUGCCUCGCGGUUGGUUGAAAAUCGAGUCCUUGGUAGGGUGUGCCAUGGUAGAUGGUGGUCGAGUUAGAACGAUACCGAUCAUGUGCAUGCUCCCCAAAAUAUGGCCUCUAUGACCCACACGCGUCUUUUGACGCUCAUGACGAGACCUCAGGUCAGGCGGGGCUACCCGCUGAAUUUAAGCAUAUCAAUAAGCGGAGGA
RNAcentral lists this unclassified non-coding RNA (394 nucleotides) under soil metagenome. RNAcentral's name for it is "partial contains 5.8S ribosomal RNA, internal transcribed spacer 2, and large subunit ribosomal RNA". The stretch from base 1 to 121 matches the Rfam family "5.8S ribosomal RNA", at positions 35 to 154 of the family's 154-position model. The record is from RNAcentral.